AAGCUUAGGUCCUGGAAACUGCCCGUUUACAGAAACAAGGCUCUUUGUGUGGCAAAGACGUGUCACGUUCUGCAUUUUGAUCUGCGAAAACGUAGAGGAAGAAGGAGAACACAAGAGAAAAUAGCUAAGAGAAGCUGAAACGCCAUUUGAGUGAGCUUUGGACCCCGAGGCUUUGAUUAUAGCAAGUGAGGAACUUUUUAAAGGAGAUUUAACCGAUGUGGAGUUGGUCAAAACAUUCGUAAGCUAAAAUUGCUUGGGGUAUAAGCAAGGAGAGGGAGAUUGUAGCUAUCAAAGAAGGUCACGAUUAGGGUUAGAUAUCAAAAUCCAUGAAGGCAAUUUCCAAUAUAUUUUUUCCUUCUUUUUAAUAUAUUAGAACAUUGAGGAAACCUCAAAUUAAGGUUGGCUAUUUUAUUUCCCAAGCAAGUGACCUAACUCCCUUUUAUGUUCGUAUCCUCAAAGGCAUGCCACUUAUACAUGUUUCUCUAUACUUAUAUAC
This is a long non-coding RNA of Capsella rubella, 496 nucleotides long. RefSeq lists it as uncharacterized. NCBI's taxonomy places the organism in Eukaryota, Viridiplantae, Streptophyta, Magnoliopsida, Brassicales, Brassicaceae. The transcript has 3 exons. The record is from RefSeq and is a predicted model, not a curated record.